Molecule: ribosomal RNA, 254 nt
Filed under: uncultured bacterium
Lineage: Bacteria
Description: partial 16S ribosomal RNA
Rfam family: Bacterial small subunit ribosomal RNA
Source: RNAcentral
CACGUAGGGGGCGAGCGUUGUCCGGAUUUAUUGGGCGUAAAGAGCUCGUAGGCGGCUUUGUCAGUCGGGUGUGAAACCUCCAGGCUCAACCUGGAGCCGCCACCCGAUACUGCAAUAGCUAGAGUCCGGUAGGGGAGCAUGGAACUCCUGGUGUAGCGGUGGAAUGCGCAGAUAUCAGGAGGAACACCGGUGGCGAAGGCGGGUCUCUGGGCAGUAACUGACGCUGAGGAGCGAAAGCGUGGGGAGCGAACAGG